GCAUUCUGGGUAACAUAGUAAGUUAUCUUCCAUUUGUUUACGCAAUUGUUGUGCGGAGGAGAUGUAGGGGAACUGUAAGUAACGCCCGUUAUUUUAUCAUUCUGACUACAUCACAUGGUGUACAAGUUUAAUACAUGUAAACUACUUCAGUGCAAUUCCAGACUAACUCGUCAUUAGCAGUGGAUAAGAUCCCCAAAUGUGGGAAUUACCCCAGAGCAUUCGUAAAUGAGUCGGGACGACUACGGUCUGGAGGCGAGAAAGGAAAGAUUACAUUAUUCAAUACCCCGUCCAGUUAUUGGCAGUAAUGCACCAUUGACAUUGGAUGCCAACCGCUGUUAAAUACGAUCGAAGAAGAAUAUAAGAUAACAUGUUCGUAUAGCAAUUGUGUCAUUCGAAGUUCAAUAUGCUUGGCUAGACUCUAGUUGGUUGAUAAACGAGGUAAGUAGAGAAUGAGCGAAGAGGCUGUUUCGUUACAGCAUUGGACCAGCUGGGACACAGAGCCGGUCAGAGGAUGAGGAGUCGACUGGGAUAAAAUACAUAAAAAGAACAGCAACACAGGCUUUCGUUGGGGGUGGCGGUGUUGUGCCCAAACGCAGGAGAUCUUCAAGAGCAGUCAGCCCAAGCUGGAGGUGUUCCAGGAGAUGCUGAGUAAGCACCCCAGUGUGUUCUAUCCCUCCCACACUCCCAAGAGCUUGUUGGUGCACUGGCAGCUACUCAAACAGUACUAUCUGCUGGAGGACCAGAGUGUUCAACCUCUCCCUAAAGGAAACUAACUUCUCUGAUGCUGAGCAGCUGGUGGAUGAUGCUAAGCUUCCCUGAGAUCACCCUGGGCAGAGCCACCAAGGACAAGCAGAUCGAUGUAGAUCUGUCUCUGGAAGGACCUGCCUGGAAGAUCUCCAGGAAACAAGGGAUCAUUAAACUAAAGAACAACGGAGACUUCUUCAUAGCCAACGAAGGCCGCAGGCCCAUCUACAUAGACGGCAGACCAGUCUUGUCUGGCUACACGUGGAAACUCACAAUAACACAAUAACUCCAUCCUCUGUGGUGGAGAUUGCCGGUCUUCGUUUUGUAUUCCUGAUCAACCAGCAGCUGAUCUCACUCAUCAAGGCAGAAGCAGCUAAGAUGAACCAGCAGUGAGAGAGAGGUAGAGCUGUGCUUCCUCAGUGGAGCAGAGGCCAAGGCACAUGCCUUUGUCUACUGCCCAGCCAGCUCCUACAUACAGAGCAAUGAGGUCCACAUGAAGGAACCCAGAACCCCUUUGGUCAUGGUUAUACAGUGGCGUAAGAGCAGGACACCCACACACUGAGAAUGGUUGUGAUAUUUGGUAACCUUUCCACUGCUGGGUAUCUUAAGGUGAAUCUUAUCUCAAAGACCCUCAAUUAUACUUUCAAAACUACAGGACCAUAACUCCAGUUUAGUCGUGUUUAAAUUGGCAUUCAUAUCAUGAGGUUCCACAGUGCAUAUAAGACAAUGAAUUGGUUUUAAUUCUGUUUUUCAAUUUUUUUCCCCCAUACAGAUUGGUUUAGGUUGAGCUGAUACAUGCAAAAAUGCAUUUAGGACCAGGAUAGGGAAUCACUUGAAAAGGGAUAUUGUGUAUGUAUGUACAGUUGAAGUCGGAAGUUUACAUACACUUUAGCCAAAUACAUUUAAUACUAGUAAAAAUUCCCUGUCUUAGGUCAGUUAGGAU
This is a long non-coding RNA of Oncorhynchus kisutch (coho salmon), 1687 nucleotides long. RefSeq lists it as uncharacterized. The record is from RefSeq and is a predicted model, not a curated record. NCBI's taxonomy places the organism in Eukaryota, Metazoa, Chordata, Actinopteri, Salmoniformes, Salmonidae. The transcript is spliced from 6 exons.